RNAcentral lists this ribosomal RNA (509 nucleotides) under uncultured bacterium. RNAcentral describes it as "bacterial SSU rRNA". It matches the Rfam family "Bacterial small subunit ribosomal RNA", at positions 28 to 529 of the family's 1533-position model. The record is from RNAcentral.
GAUGAACGCUAGCGACAGGCCUAACACAUGCAAGUCGAGGGGCAGCACAUGAGUAGCAAUACGAUGGUGGCGACCGGCGCACGGGUGAGUAACACGUAUGCAACCUACCUGUAAGAGGGGAAUAACCCGGAGAAAUUCGGACUAACACCGCAUAAUACCGAUUAACUGCAUGGUUGAUCGGUUAAAUAUUUAUAGCUUACAGAUGGGCAUGCGUAACAUUAGAUAGUUGGUGAGGUAACGGCUCACCAAGUCAACGAUGUUUAGGGGUUCUGAGAGGAAGGUCCCCCACACUGGUACUGAGACACGGACCAGACUCCUACGGGAGGCAGCAGUGAGGAAUAUUGGUCAAUGGGCGAGAGCCUGAACCAGCCAAGUCGCGUGAAGGAAGAAGGUUCUAUGGAUUGUAAACUUCUUUUGUAAGGGAAUAAAAGAGUUACGUGUAACUUAUUGUAUGUACUUUACGAAUAAGGAUCGGCUAACUCCGUGCCAGCAGCCGCGGUAAACACGAG